UUACUGCUACCUCCGUCUGAAAAUAUUUGUAGUCAAAAUGAAUAAAAGAGGAUGUAUCUAGAUGUAUUUUAGUUCUAGAUACAUCCCUUUCUAUCUGUUUUGAUCACAAGUAUUUUUGGAUGAAGGGAGUAUUAA
This is a non-coding RNA of Triticum aestivum (bread wheat), 135 nucleotides long. The record is from Rfam. NCBI's taxonomy places the organism in Eukaryota, Viridiplantae, Streptophyta, Magnoliopsida, Poales, Poaceae.